RNAcentral lists this ribosomal RNA (476 nucleotides) under uncultured bacterium. RNAcentral's name for it is "partial 16S ribosomal RNA". It matches the Rfam family "Bacterial small subunit ribosomal RNA", at positions 28 to 523 of the family's 1533-position model. The record is from RNAcentral.
GACGAACGCUGGCGGCAUGCCUAACACAUGCAAGUCGAACGGUAAGGCUUCCUUCGGGAAGUACACGAGUGGCGAACGGGUGAGUAACACGUGGGUAACCUACCCUUGACUGGGGGACAACCGAGGGAAACUUCGGCUAAUACCGCAUAACGUGCAUUGCCUCAAGGUGGUGUACCAAAGCUCCGGCGGUUAAGGAUGGGCCCGCGGCAGAUUAGCUAGUUGGUGAGGUAACGGCUCACCAAGGCCACGAUGCGUAGCCGACCUGAGAGGGUGAUCGGCCACAUUGGAACUAAGACACGGUCCAGACUCCUACGGGAGGCAGCAGUGGGGAAUAUUGCACAAUGGGCGAAAGCCUGAUGCAGCAACGCCGCGUGAGUGAUGAAGGUCUUCGGAUUGUAAAGCUCUUUGAUUAGGGACGAUAAUGACGGUACCUAAAGAACAAGCCACGGCUAACUACGUGCCAGCCGCCGCCGUAA